This 253-nucleotide ribosomal RNA is filed under the name uncultured bacterium. RNAcentral describes it as "partial 16S ribosomal RNA". It matches the Rfam family "Bacterial small subunit ribosomal RNA", at positions 524 to 776 of the family's 1533-position model. The record is from RNAcentral.
UACAGAGGGUGCAAGCGUUGUUCGGAAUUACUGGGCGUAAAGUGUGCGCAGGCGGCCGAGCAAGUCGAGUGUGAAAGCCCCGGGCUUAACUUGGGAAUUGCGCUCGAAACUACUUGGCUGGAGUGUGGCAGAGGAAGGUGGAAUUCCAGGUGUAGCGGUGAAAUGCGUAGAGAUCUGGAGGAACACCGAUGGCGAAGGCAGCCUUCUGGGCCAACACUGACGCUCAUGCACGAAAGCGUGGGGAGCAAACAGG